UACGUAGGGGGCGAGCGUUGUCCGGAAUUAUUGGGCGUAAAGAGCUCGUAGGCGGCUUAGUAAGUCGGCGGUGAAAUACCGAGGCUCAACCUCGGCACUGCCGUCGAUACUGCUAUGGCUAGAGUUUGGUAGAGGAGAACGGAAUUCCCGGUGUAGCGGUGGAAUGCGCAGAUAUCGGGAGGAACACCCGUAGCGAAGGCGGUUCUCUAGUACGGUACUGACGCUGAGACGCGAAAGCGUGGGGAGCGAACAGG
Molecule: ribosomal RNA, 254 nt
Filed under: uncultured bacterium
Lineage: Bacteria
Description: partial 16S ribosomal RNA
Rfam family: Bacterial small subunit ribosomal RNA
Source: RNAcentral